CCUACGGGAGGCAGCAGUGAGGAAUAUUGGUCAAUGGUCGGGAGACUGAACCAGCCAAGCCGCGUGAGGGAUGAAGGUUCAGAGUAUAGUAAACCUCUUUUGUCAGGGAACAAAGGCGGGGACGCGUCCCCGGAUGAGUGUACCUGAAGAAAAAGCAUCGGCUAACUCCGGGCCAGCAGCCGCGGUAAUACGGAGGAUGCGAGCGUUAUCCGGUUUUAUUGGGUUAAAGGGGUGCGCAGGCGGUCUGUUAAGUCAGCGGUCAAAGCCCGGGGCUCACCCCCGGCCCGCCGUUGAAACUGGGAGUCUCGAGUUUGCGAGCGGUAUGCGGAAUGCGCGGUGUAGCGGU
RNAcentral lists this ribosomal RNA (346 nucleotides) under uncultured bacterium. RNAcentral describes it as "partial 16S ribosomal RNA". It matches the Rfam family "Bacterial small subunit ribosomal RNA", at positions 338 to 682 of the family's 1533-position model. The record is from RNAcentral.